Molecule: transfer RNA, 75 nt
Filed under: Pseudonocardia sp.
Lineage: Bacteria; Bacillati; Actinomycetota; Actinomycetes; Pseudonocardiales; Pseudonocardiaceae
Also listed under: 4 other names
Description: tRNA-Thr
Rfam family: tRNA
About the family: Transfer RNA (tRNA) molecules are approximately 80 nucleotides in length.
Source: RNAcentral
GCCGGUGUAGCUCAGUGGUAGAGCAACCGCCUUGUAAGCGGUAGGUCGUCGGUUCAAUCCCGACCUCCGGCUCCA